Molecule: transfer RNA, 72 nt
Filed under: Sphenostylis stenocarpa
Lineage: Eukaryota; Viridiplantae; Streptophyta; Magnoliopsida; Fabales; Fabaceae
Description: tRNA gene-AYBTSS11_LOCUS22202
Source: RNAcentral
AUCAUAGUAGCUUAGUGGUUGGAGUAUCAGUCUCCAAUUUUAAGGUACUAAGUUCAAAUCUUGCCUUUGACA